CCUGAUCUUACAUAGGAAUAGCGGGCCUUAGAAAAUUGUUUUUCAUCAUUUUAGCGGGCCUUAGAAAAUUGUUUUUCAUCAUUUUGGAGCAUCAUCUUCAUUGUUUACUGCAAAUCAUCUUCUUUGUUUACUGCAAAGAAGAAUGUGAAAAUCAAUGACUUUCAUACUAGAAAAUUUAAUAAAUUUCAAGCACAUUAUAACUUAACUAUAAGCAUACCUUCACCAUUUAUGAGCCAUCCGUCUCCCGGAUAUUAUUAAACAAAACAAUCUUUACGUGAAUAAGAUUGUAUUGAGUUUGCUUUAUGGCAGGGUCCAAUCUUUACGUGAAUAAGAUUGUAUUGAGUUUGCUUUAUGGCAGGGGCGGCUAGGAGCUUAGCACAAAAUUCUAGCCAC
Molecule: long non-coding RNA, 393 nt
Filed under: Daucus carota (carrot)
Lineage: Eukaryota; Viridiplantae; Streptophyta; Magnoliopsida; Apiales; Apiaceae
Description: long non-coding RNA (DCAR_LNC000053)
Source: RNAcentral